RNAcentral lists this long non-coding RNA (214 nucleotides) under Lathyrus oleraceus (garden pea). RNAcentral describes it as "Pisum sativum (pea) long non-coding RNA (PSAT_LNC027835)". Lineage: Eukaryota; Viridiplantae; Streptophyta; Magnoliopsida; Fabales; Fabaceae. The record is from RNAcentral.
CAAGUUAUAGAUGAAAUCCAAAGUUAAUAGAGUAUCACAAAGAUAAUGGAAAAGGCCUCCAGCAAAGGUUCUAGGAUGAGAUCCUCUAAGUCCAAGUUGAUUAAGUGGAAUGAAUACUUUUGGUCUUAUAAAUUUAUCAUGUUUUUGUUGUUUUUAAUGUAAUAAUAACAAUAAAGUAAAGUGACAAUAAUAAAAUAUGUAUGAUGAGUUUAUA